GCCGGGCAUGGUGGCACAUGCCUGUAAUCCCAGCAACUAGGGAGACUGAGGCAGGAGGCUUGAAAGUUUGAGGCUAGCCUCAGCAACUUAGCAAGACCCUGCCUCAA
This 107-nucleotide small RNA is filed under the name Marmota monax (woodchuck). Lineage: Eukaryota; Metazoa; Chordata; Mammalia; Rodentia; Sciuridae. The record is from RNAcentral.